Molecule: ribosomal RNA, 387 nt
Filed under: uncultured bacterium SA26
Lineage: Bacteria
Description: bacterial SSU rRNA
Rfam family: Bacterial small subunit ribosomal RNA
Source: RNAcentral
AGUUGGGCACUUUAAUGAGACUGCCGGUGACAAACCGGAGGAAGGUGGGGAUGACGUCAAGUCCUCAUGGCCCUUAUGGGUAGGGCUUCACACGUCAUACAAUGGUCGGUUCAGAGGGUUGCCAACCCGCGAGGGGGAGCCAAUCUCAGAAAGCCGAUCGUAGUCCGGAUCGCAGUCUGCAACUCGACUGCGUGAAGUCGGAAUCGCUAGUAAUCGCGGAUCAGCAUGUCGCGGUGAAUACGUUCCCGGGUCUUGUACACACCGCCCGUCACACCAUGGGAGCGGGUUCUGCCAGAAGUAGUUAGCCUAACCGCAAGGAGGGCGAUUACCACGGCAGGGUUCGUGACUGGGGUGAAGUCGUAACAAGGUAGCCGUAGGGGAACCUGC